GUGUCCUUGGCCGAGCGGCCAGGUGCCAGUCUUCCAAACUGGAUAGGCGAGUUCGACUCUCGCAGGACACU
Molecule: transfer RNA, 71 nt
Filed under: Blastopirellula sp.
Lineage: Bacteria; Pseudomonadati; Planctomycetota; Planctomycetia; Pirellulales; Pirellulaceae
Description: tRNA-Gly
Rfam family: tRNA
About the family: Transfer RNA (tRNA) molecules are approximately 80 nucleotides in length.
Source: RNAcentral